GACAGAGGCCUCAAGCGUUAGGCGGAAUCACUGGGCUUAAAGCGUGUGUAGGCGGGUCGUUAAGUGCCUUGUGAAAUCCCACAGCUCACCUGUGGAACUGCUUGGCAUACUGGCGAUCUUGAGCCACUUAGGGGCAACCGGAACAAACGGUGGAGCGGUGAAAUGCGUAGAUAUCAAGAGGAACACCUGAGGUGAAGACGGGUUGCUGGGCCAACACUGACGCUGAUGCGCGAAAGCCAGGGGAGCAAACGGG
This 253-nucleotide ribosomal RNA is filed under the name uncultured bacterium. RNAcentral describes it as "partial 16S ribosomal RNA". It matches the Rfam family "Bacterial small subunit ribosomal RNA", at positions 524 to 776 of the family's 1533-position model. The record is from RNAcentral.